This is a small nuclear RNA of Cynocephalus volans (Philippine flying lemur), 161 nucleotides long. RefSeq annotates it as U1 spliceosomal RNA. Lineage: Eukaryota; Metazoa; Chordata; Mammalia; Dermoptera; Cynocephalidae. The record is from RefSeq and is a predicted model, not a curated record. The transcript has a single exon.
AUACUUACCUGUCGGAGAUACCAUGAUCAUGAAGGUGGUUUUCCCAGAGCUAGGCUUAUCCAUUGCGCUCCAGAUGUGCUGACCCCUGCAAUUUCCCCAAAUGUGGGAAACUCGACUACAUCAUUUGCAGUAGUGGGGGACUGUGUUUGUGCUCUCCCCUG